GGUCUGAGCAUGCACUGCAUCAGGCCUAUCUACUGCUACCUCCGGCUGUCUGCCCUGCUGGCUUCAUCGGACAAAACAAGUCGCAGGAAGCUGUACCACGUGCACUGCACUGGGACCACCUGACCAGCACGGUAACGUCGACGGAGACAUCGUGGCACCCGGAUAAAAGCAGCAGCCUUUUCGACGUUCCCUUCAGUGGACUUGGAAGCACCUAACGAGCACGGAUGCUGAUCAAAUUUUUUCUGAUCGCACAGGCGAUCUUUGGAAACUUCAGUGAUACCUGACGACUGGCGAAGGGCCAAAGUAAUACCUGUGCACAAAUCUGGCUCUAAACUCGACAGUUCAUCACUUGUGCAUGUGCAACACAUUGGCGGAGGCAAUACGAACUGCAUUUCUCACUAGCUGGACAAGUCGGAAUGGCAAUGCACCUUGGAGAACAAGACUCGAAUUGUGAAAGUCUGGUGGUUUCACAGAACUUUGUUUUAUGUCAAGAUGGGCUGACACCAUGUCACCUGAUGCUGUCACUCUCUGGUAAGCAUGUUAAAAAAAUAAAAACAAUCCAGUUUGAACA
RNAcentral lists this unclassified non-coding RNA (571 nucleotides) under Dermacentor andersoni. RNAcentral describes it as "uncharacterized LOC126538731". Lineage: Eukaryota; Metazoa; Arthropoda; Arachnida; Ixodida; Ixodidae. The record is from RNAcentral.